GAUGAACGCUGGCGGCGUGCUUAACACAUGCAAGUCGAACGGAAAGGCCCAAGCUUGCUUGGGUACUCGAGUGGCGAACGGGUGAGUAACACGUGGGUGAUCUGCCCUGCACUUCGGGAUAAGCCUGGGAAACUGGGUCUAAUACCGGAUAGGACCACUUCUUGGAUGUUGUGGUGGAAAGUUUUUUCGGUGUGGGAUGAGCUCGCGGCCUAUCAGCUUGUUGGUGGGGUAAUGGCCUACCAAGGCGUCGACGGGUAGCCGGCCUGAGAGGGUGUACGGCCACAUUGGGACUGAGAUACGGCCCAGACUCCUGCGGGAGGCAGCAGUGGGGAAUAUUGCACAAUGGGCGCAAGCCUGAUGCAGCGACGCCGCGUGGGGGAUGACGGCCUUCGGGUUGUAAACUCCUUUCGCUAGGGACGAAGCGUUUUGGGACGGUACCUGGAGAAGAAGCACCGGCUAACUACGU
Molecule: ribosomal RNA, 466 nt
Filed under: uncultured bacterium
Lineage: Bacteria
Description: partial 16S ribosomal RNA
Rfam family: Bacterial small subunit ribosomal RNA
Source: RNAcentral